This is a long non-coding RNA of Ctenopharyngodon idella (grass carp), 1834 nucleotides long. RefSeq lists it as uncharacterized. The transcript has 2 exons. NCBI's taxonomy places the organism in Eukaryota, Metazoa, Chordata, Actinopteri, Cypriniformes, Xenocyprididae. The record is from RefSeq and is a predicted model, not a curated record.
GCGAGCAAUAUAGUCAUUUUUAAACAAUAGAUGAGUUAAAUACAACUACCCAGCAGGUUGGGUUAAACAUUUUAACCCAACCGCUGGGUCAAAACAACCCAAUUGUUGGGUUUGUCUAUAUUUAACCCAACUUGGGUUAUUUUUAACCCAGCAUUUUUUAGUGUAGGAGUCUAUAUGUAGCAAUAAAUAAAACCUGUAUGACUUUCUUUGUCCAUUAAACUAACACACUAAUUGUUGUUUCUUCUUCUUUUGUGUUUUACAGGAGAAAGAAAGUCCAACAGUUCAAUUUCUUUGAACGGUUCAUUUUCUGUCCUGUCCUGUGUGGCAAAAAAUCUGUGCACAAAAAUACUCAUGCACACAAUCUCAUGCUCACCAGUGAAUCAUUUGAAAAGUAGCAAAACUACUAGUUUAACCAGCACGAUUUCAAAAUGUGUUUUAACAAGUUGCACCUGCAACCAAUCACAGUCCUAAAACAUCAUAUGGGAAAGUUCAACUCAUUGUAAUGAAUCAGUUUGUUUGAACAGUUCAUGUUCAAAAAAAUGAUUCACGUGACUCAUUUGAAUCCUGUGCAGCAAAACAAUUAACUAGCUGUCGGUGUGUGAUACUUUUAACUAUCAGUGUGUUUUAGUGUACAUUUAUCUAUUUCCAACACCCGUAAUGCCAGAUACAAAAUAAAUGAUUAAUCAUUGAAUAAUUAUUUUAAAAAAUGACUAACUUAAAUGGCUUCAGUGUAGUCUAGAAGCUUAUAAGCAGCAAUAAAUAAAACCUGUAUGAAUUUCUGUGUUCAUUAAACUAAAUGUUGUUUAGAUCCCACUGACCUUUCUUCUUCUUUUGUGUUUCACAGGAGAAAGAAAGUCAAACCGGUUUGGAACGACAUGAGGAAAACCAUCCCGGCUAGUCCAAACAUGGGAGCGGUUCUCGGAUUUCAGACCCCCACCUUGUCUUUUGUGCCGAGUUCAGUGAGGCUCCUGGUCAGAAAUGUACACAAGCCUAAUUCGAGUUCGAAGAUCUCCGAAUAACCCGAAAGGGAUCAAAUUAAAAUUCCAAGACGGGCGGAAAAAAGCGAUAUGGGGUUUGAAAGUGGCCCCUGCUUCUUUAAGCUGGAUUUAAGUGAUCAAAGUUCCAUAUGAGGCAGCCAUUGGUGGUAUUGAGUUACUCUAAUGGCUGCCAUGUGCUACUGCCGACGGGCCCGAUCCACGGACGUCUCCAGGGUGUCAGGCACAAGACAGUUGUAAAAAGAGGCUUUACAAUGGAGAGCGGGAUCGGCUAAAACCAGAUGCCUCGUGCAUUUUUUUCCGAAUUAGCUCCAGAUUUUUCAAGGAGCAUCGAUCAAGGCGUCCGGCGGGUCUCUCAAGACCGUGCCAGCCGACAGCGGCCCCCUCUCUAUCGCUCGCCAAGCGCUUAUUUACUGAUGCGUGGCUUCCCCAUUCCCACUAAACUGCAGGAGACACAAGUGACAAUAAAAGUCAAACACUCGGUGGUUGCCGGAGUCCUGGCUGGUUAUUAGUAUGUAAAUGAAAUCAUCACAGCUGUUCUAUGCGCGGAGAGGGGGAGAGCGGAGACAACGAACCCUGCAUUCUGAUGCUGUCUCCUGAACAACCAUCAGGCGCUGGCCACCUCUUCUGUACCCUGCAGUCACGCAAUAAUGCAUGCGCAAAUGCUUUUAUGCAUGCAAUUAAAUUAUUGCUAAAGUAUAGUGUACACAUAUACAGGUUAAUUAGCAAAACGGCUGGAAUUGCUUUCGUUCAGUGAACAGCGAAUGCCUGUGGAUGUGUUUUGUUAUUGCAAAAGCCUUUUGGAAAUGAAAAAAAGUACUUGGGUCUAUUUAAAGCUG